CAGUAGCCGCGGUAAUACGAAGGGUGCAAGCGUUACUCGGAAUUACUGGGCGUAAAGCGUGCGUAGGUGGUGGUUUAAGUCCGUUGUGAAAGCCCUGGGCUCAACCUGGGAAUUGCAGUGGAUACUGGGUCACUAGAGUGUGGUAGAGGAUAGUGGAAUUUCCGGUGUAGCGGUGAAAUGCGUAGAGAUCGGGAGGAACAUCAGUGGCGAAGGCAGCCCCCUGGGAUAACACUGACGCUGAGGCACGAAAGCGUGGGUAGCAAACAGGAUUAGAUACCCCCGUAGUCCCUGUCUCUUAUAC
This 301-nucleotide ribosomal RNA is filed under the name uncultured bacterium. RNAcentral describes it as "partial 16S ribosomal RNA". It matches the Rfam family "Bacterial small subunit ribosomal RNA", at positions 509 to 807 of the family's 1533-position model. The record is from RNAcentral.